AGUCGCAAGUGUUUUAUUUGAAGAUGAAGGGUGAUUAUCAUCGUUAUUUAGCUGAGUUUAAGAUUGGGCAUGAGAAAAAAUCUGCUGCUGAAGAAACCUUUUUUUCUUAUAAGGCUGCACAGGUUCUCUUUUACUCAUAAUUGCUUUAAAUUUUCAAUUUUUUACUUGUUUAGAUUGGGAUUUAAGUUCUGUUUGUUUAGCCUUGGAAAAAAUUGAUUUUGAAAAUGUGAUUUACUUUUAAUUGAUGUUUAUAGAAGUUAGAUGGAUUUGGUUAAAUUUAAAUAUAUAAAAAAAAUCAAUUUUUACUUGAGAAGACCUGCUUCUCAAAAUAAUCAACAAAUCUAAUUAUUUUGAUAUGCUGCUUAUUCAAAAAAAUGUUACCUGAACAUAAGUCAUGUCUUGUAAAAAAUAUUAAAUUAGUUAAGAAAUUAGACAAAAUUUUAAUGUUCUGAUUUUGGGUUGUUUUUAAUUUUUUUCCCAUAGGAUAUUGCUCAAGUUAAUCUUCCACCCACACAUCCAAUUAGAUUGGGUUUGGCUCUGAACUUCUCUGUGUUCUACUAUGAAAUUCUCAACCAGUCUGAUAAGGCAUGUGGGAUGGCUAAACAGGUAUGCAUGGUUUAUGAAUUUCAAUUGGAGAGAUAAUCUGGCUUGUGUUAUUUGAUUUGAGCUGUAGAAGUUUGUCAAGUUUUGUUCUGCUAUAAUCUGUCCAGAAUUGCAUGAUUUAUUGAUAUAUGAAUUUCAAAUCUGAUUUAUUGUAAUGGCAUGAUUUGUACUUGCGCCGAGAAUGAUUUAUUGGAAUCUUAUAAAAGUAAGAGGCCCUGGUUCUGUUUGAGUUGGGUAUAUGGUCCUGUACCUAAGGAGAAGAUUGUUGAAAACUAGGAAUUUUGUUAAUUUCUCUAGUUUGGUUUGCUUUAGAAUCUGUUUUCUCCAAAUAUUGUGAAGUUUUAAGGAUCCAGUGUAACAUAACUUUUAUUCCACUCUGACCACAAACAGAAAUAAGGUUAACAUGGAUAGUAGUUCUUACUUAUGUGUGUGUACCCAUGAUAGUUGGGCCAAUGAAUUACAAUAACAUAGAAGUUUGACUUUCACAUUCGGGUUGUUUGCAGUUUCACAGGUGAGGCUAAGGUUAUUCUGAGGGAACUUAUAGUUUCUGAAAGUGAUUGUGUUCAGUGUGAAUUAUGGUACUACAUUGAAUGAAUUUGUACUAGUACCGAGUAUUUUUAACAUGAAGCUUGGUAAUUUUUUCACUUCAAUUGGACUAUUGACAAAAGGGGAAGUUGCAUACAGAAGCAAGUUAACAAAAAUACUUUCGCUUUGUUUCAACAGAACUAUUUUUUAGAAAUAAAAUGUUACUAUUUAUUUACAAUGAUGUUAUUAUGCUUUCCCUGUACCAAACUCCCGAAACUUUAACUCAAAAAUUAAAAAUUCCCCCCACAAAAGAAGUAUACUUCAAUUUGUCUAUAAAUUAAAACCAGUCAUAUCUUGCUGCAACCCUCAUAUAAGUCACAUGAUUCCAUGUUUUCUUGUGUUCCAUUCAUGCUUGGCUUCUAUUUUACCGAGUACUGCCGUAGGAGCAUAGUCUUAUUGAUCCUAAAAAUUUACUGAACCUUAGUCUUUCCAAUUUUUAAAGGCUUUUGAGGAAGCAAUUGCUGAGCUGGACACCCUGGGAGAAGAAUCCUACAAAGACAGCACUCUCAUAAUGCAACUUUUGAGAGACAACCUCACUCUUUGGACUUCUGAUGUUCAGGUAAAUAUUACUAUAACCGAACCCCACACCCAUUAUAGAAUAUUCUUCUGUAAAAACAGUUUGAUCAAUCUCUAUUUCCUAAUGCUAAGUUAAGCUAUAUUUGAUUCCCUGCAGGACCAACUAGAUGAGCCUUGAUAUUGAUUUGAGGGGUCAUAUUCUUCCUCUGAAGGAGGUGGGCUUUGAAUGUCAUUUCUUUGUGCUGAUUAAGAAUUGCCCUAGUUUAUAUAAGAUUAUUGACAAUCUGUGAUUAUAAUGUUUUGUGAACAGAAGAAGACCAAACCAAGUUUUUUAUUGUGUUAUGUGAUUUGGAAUGGAUUUUGUAUAAUGUGAGAUCCAAUCAAUUAUAUUUGGUGCAUUAUUAUUCUCACAUGGAAGUAGCAUCAUUCAUAUAUCAAUUGUGAUGAUAGUGCAUGAUGCUGACAUAUAUAUAUAACUUUUUCCAAUAUAAAUAUCUAAUUUGUUUGUUACAUAUCAAACACCAAUUUCUGAAAGUGUCCAAAAAAACACUAGAUUUGUAGGACUGGCUUUUCAAUACAAUUUGGCCCAAUGUUGAAGGUACCAAUAUUUUUUUGUUCUACUAAUUGAAAGAUAUUUCCCUUCUCAAUCUGUCAAAAGAUCUGUGUUGAAGUAGUGAGUAUAUGAUAUACUUACAUGAGUUAAUAAAGAAGCAGUCCUAUACAUGCUGAUGCUGCACUUUACUCCUCUAGUGAUAGCAAUAAUAUACUAAACAAUAACUUUACCGUUCACUGUUGUGCUCGUGCGUGCGGCCGGAAGGUUUCUCAAACAUGCAAAUUUCACACCAUGUUUCAACUUUUGUCAGCAAAUCCAAAUGAGUAAAAUUAUACUCAUUUUAGUUUUGUUGGUUGUUUUUUUGUUGGUACCAGCAUUUGAACAUGGGUCUGAUUGAUAUAAUUUCAAAGCAUCAAAGAGACCCAAAAUGCUAGUAAAUUAUACUCGUUUGAUAAUUUGGAAAUUCUUUUCAUUUCCUUCUUUAUAUUUCUUAUUAAUUUCACUCACCAAUUGGUUAGAAGAAAGAUAUGGGGUAUAAAAAUGGAGUUAGGAUCAUCUCCAUUAAUGGAGAGACAAGUAUACCUAAAACAUGAGUAAAAAGGUAAUAUGACUUAACAUUUUUAUCCUUAAGAUAUAAUGAAAUAACAUUUUUACCCUUACAUGUAAGUAUAAAAGUGAUCACUUACCUCUCCAUUAAUGGAGAGUAUCCUAACUCAUAAAAAUGAAGCCUAAUGAGUAUCUAUAGGGACCUAAACAAAUUAUCUUUUCGUUCUAUAGUAUGAACUUUAAGGAGUAUGAAGUUUCAUUUUUUAUUUGAUAUAAGUAAGUCGAUAAAGAAUCCAUUUAACUUCAUUUGUUCCAUGCCAAAAGCAUACCUACAUCACGAUAACCCUUCUUUGAAAAACUUUAGAGUGCUCUAGUUUUUGGAUAACAAAUGGACCUCCCGACAAUUUUAAUGUAGCUGAUUUCUCCUCGUUUAGUUAGGGUACAUGCUCUCUAGCUAAGGAUGUGUUAGGAAAGUUAAUAAAGGAUAUUAGAAGAACGUAUGUAUCUCAUUGACCAAAUAGUUGCAACGCUCUGUACAAUUUGAAACUACAUUGUAAUGUUACUUUUGGGUUUGAGAAACGUUUUAAAAAUUGGAAAUCGGUAAUUGUGAUUUAUUACAUUUAACGAAAUUGAAGGAAUUUAUUUUGGUAAAAAGCAAUGCGCUGACAUAUUAAUAUUUAUAGUUUUACACAGUACAAAGUGGAGAAAUUGGUGGCCAUCUUAAAUUCUUACUUAAAAUAAAAACAUGUUUACAUAAAAUAUAAGAUUUUCAUGAUAUUUUUGUAAGAGUUUAAUAUUUAAAUAUUCUUUUUGCAAAUAUUGUUACAUAAUUGAUACACCAUUCAUUACUAAUAUAUAUAUUAUUUGUAAUUAAUUUUAUUUAAAAGUCAUUAAGAAUUAAAAUAUAUAUGAAUGACAAGUGAUAUUCUUUUGGUACUGCCAAAUGUAUAAAUCAUUAAUUCAUUUUGAGGUUUGUGGCUAUCCCCUCUUAACAAGUGUUGUUCUCAGAAAAAAAUUAGAAAAUUAAUAAUACUUUUGACAAAAAGAUAUCAUUACUCUAUAUAUAUUUGAAUAGAUACACCAGUAACAAUGUUAAAUGUAACACGUUAAGGAGUCAUCUCCCUUUGCUGGUUAUGUGGAGACAUAACAAUUAGAUAAAUGCAUUUAUGUUUUUUAGUAUUAUAAUUUAAUGCUAAAUUUUAAUUAAGUGAUGAUUUUAAUGUGUUAUUUCUAUAUAAAUAUGUCUUCGUACAAGUUUUUUUCGAUAACAUUAUAGCAUGUAAGUUACGAAAUGACAAAGGGCAUCACUUAUGAAGGUGACACGUGGGACAAGUUACACAACAACAUGUGGUUUAGAAUAGUUGGCUCAUUUCUAAUUUCAACUAAUCCUCAAUUUGUCACUAAUUGUGAUGAAGAUGAGAAGGUCAUAAAAGUCCUAUCUGUCCAACUCAUGGAUGGUCACAAAUACAGCUCAAUCCUACACAUUACAUACCUUUAUUUAUAUUUUCACAUAUUAUUAUAUACUCCAAAAAUAUUAUUCUACACCUCACUCAACUUAUAAAUCUCCCAAAAAACUUAUUAUAAAAGGUUUAAUUAUUCAACUUAAAAAUAAUUCAAAUAAAUCUCUAAACUGUUUAAAAGUUAAAAUAGAUUUAUCUUUCUUUUUUGAAAUUUUUAUAAUUGUAAAUACAAAUACAGAAAUUAUUUAUAAAGUUCCCUCAAAAAUCAUUAUAAAAGGUUAAUUAUUAUAUACCUUCAAAAUACUUCAAAUAAGUCUCUAAAAUUUAAAAAUUCAAAUGAAUUUCAUAUAUUUCAUUUCGAAAAAUUAGAAUACUUUUUUUUUUUGUUUAGAAUACUUAUAUUAUUUCUUGUUUUUAUUACAAUGUUUAAUAAUUUAAAGAGAGAGUUGUGACUAAUGUAUUAAUGAAUACUUAGGAUUAUAUAGUUUUUUUUAAUAUGUUAAAAACAAAAUGAAAGUGAAAAUUACAUAUUACAAAUAUACGACCAAAUUUAAAUAAAUAAACAAAUCUCAAUGUAUAAUUUCUAGUGCUGCCAAUAGUAUUUUUCACAUUUUUACGUAAGGAACUAAUUGAUUCUUCCAACAACUGCUGCUUCUAAGAAUCGAAUCUUCAACAACUGCUGCUUCCAAGAGUCGAAUCUUCAACAACCUUGAGAUGAAGUACAAUGAGAUCUUACAUCAUGAAACCAAUUAGUUCUAUAUGCAUCUUUGAAUUAUAAUCAUAUAUUACCAUUUUUAAUUGAAAAACUAUUUAAAUUUCCUAAUAAACUAUAUUCUCAUACAUUAGUAUAACCGAAUAAAGGGGCGCAUAUAUGCUGUUACACAUUUAGUAUUAUUAUAUGUAAUAUGACUUUAUGAUUUAUCAAAAAAUUUCUUAAAAAUUAAAUUAUAACUUAAAUAUAUUUUUUUAUACAAUCACAUAUGCUGCCAUGUGAUUGUUUGUUUUCAUUCAUUAAAAUAUGAUAAGAUAGAUUUAUUAUGGAGGGCAACGAUUUAAAUUUCCAUUAUAUUUUUUACUUUAUAUAUUUUGAUUUGCACUUAUAAUUUUAUCAUAUAUUUUAUGUAUUUUUAUUAUUUUAUACGCGUAUCCCCUGAACGUAUCGUAUCCUGUAUUUUGGAAAGAAAAAAAUACGUAUCGACGUAUCAGAUACGUAUCAUACCCGACAUAGGUAUCACUAAUAAACCUCACCCACCAUAAAAACACGCAGUCUCUCUUUCAGUCUCUCUUCUCGUCUUUGACAAUCCCAAUCCCCAAAAUCAAAAAAUGGUUUCUUCAAUCUCAGAAAACCUAACCAACGACCAAUACGUUUACCUCGCAAAACUCGCCGAACAAGCCGAACGCUACGAAGAGAUGGUUCAAUUCAUGCAGAAGCUCGUAACCUCUUCCACCUCCGAACUCACCGUUGAAGAACGCAACCUUCUCUCCGUCGCGUACAAGAACGUUAUCGGUUCCCUCCGUGCCGCGUGGCGCAUCGUAUCUUCAAUUGAAAUGAAGGAAGAGGGUCGCAAGAACGAUGAACAUGUUGUGCUUGUUAAGGAUUAUAGAUCUAAGGUGGAGAAUGAGCUUUCUAAUGUUUGUGAUAGUAUUCUUAAGCUUCUUGAUGAUAAUCUUAUUCCUUCUGCGACUUUGAGUGAGUCGCAAGUGUUUUAUUUGAAGAUGAAGGGUGAUUAUCAUCGUUAUUUAGCUGAGUUUAAGAUUGGGCAUGAGAAAAAAUCUGCUGCUGAAGAAACCUUUUUUUCUUAUAAGGCUGCACAGGUUCUCUUUUACUCAUAAUUGCUUUAAAUUUUCAAUUUUUUACUUGUUUAGAUUGGGAUUUAAGUUCUGUUUGUUUAGCCUUGGAAAAAAUUGAUUUUGAAAAUGUGAUUUACUUUUAAUUGAUGUUUAUAGAAGUUAGAUGGAUUUGGU
Molecule: long non-coding RNA, 6228 nt
Filed under: Lupinus angustifolius (narrow-leaved blue lupine)
Lineage: Eukaryota; Viridiplantae; Streptophyta; Magnoliopsida; Fabales; Fabaceae
Description: long non-coding RNA (LANG_LNC000526)
Source: RNAcentral